UCUCUCCUGUUGAAUCCUUCUAGUGAAUUUCAGUUAUUGUACUUUUCAACUCCAGAAUUUUUGUGUGGUGCUUUUUUUUUUUUUUUUAAGACGGAGUCUCGCUCUGUCGCCAGACUGGAGUGCAGUGGUGUGAUCUCGGCCCACCGUGACCUCUGCCUCCCAGGUGCGUCUGCCGAUGGCCCCCUGAAGUUGCUGCCCGAGAGCCACUUCGACGUGGUGGUCAUUGAUGAGUGUGCCCAGGCCCUCGAGGCGAGCUGCUGGAUCCCCCUGCUGAAGGCCAGAAAGUGCAUCCUGGCGGGCGAUCACAAGCAGCUGCCCCCCACCACAGUCUCUCACAAAAGCUGUGAACUCGGAACUUUCGUUGUUUUCCGAGGACCGGAAGAAGAUGUGCAAGAAAUCCUGUCGAGUAGAAUCUCAUCACAGGGGCAUGGGCAGCCCAGGAGUUGGGGGGGCUGCGCUGGCAGGGCUGUCGCUCAGCCUGAUGGAACGCCUGGCUGAGGAGUACGGCGCGAGGGUGGUGCGGACACUGACGG
Molecule: small RNA, 533 nt
Filed under: Pan troglodytes (chimpanzee)
Lineage: Eukaryota; Metazoa; Chordata; Mammalia; Primates; Hominidae
Description: processed transcript
Source: RNAcentral